CAGUAGCCGCGGGAAUACGAAGGGGGCUAGCGUUGUUCGGAAUUACUGGGCGUAAAGCGCACGUAGGCGGAUAUUUAAGUCAGGGGUGAAAUCCCAGAGCUCAACUCUGGAACUGCCUUUGAUACUGGGUAUCUUGAGUAUGGAAGAGGUGAGUGGAAUUCCGAGUGUAGAGGUGAAAUUCGUAGAUAUUCGGAGGAACACCAGUGGCGAAGGCGGCCCACUGGUCCAUUACUGACGCUGAGGUGCGAAAGCGUGGGGAGCAAACAGGAUUAGAGACCCCAGUAGUCCCUGUCUCUUAUAC
This 301-nucleotide ribosomal RNA is filed under the name uncultured bacterium. Its description in RNAcentral is "partial 16S ribosomal RNA". It matches the Rfam family "Bacterial small subunit ribosomal RNA", at positions 509 to 807 of the family's 1533-position model. The record is from RNAcentral.